GCACGUGCAUGAUUGCACGUCUUGAAUGAAUAUAUUUUUUAAUUUAAAAGCCACGAUUUUCAUUGGUCGUCGACGGGUUAAUUUGUAAUAUCACAAAGUCACAAAGUAAACAGAGGCGGCAUGAUUCAGCAUGCAGUCCAUCACUCCAUCCGUUGCCGCACAAACAGUAUACGGAUCCGACUAGGCGACGUUUGCAUUCAUUAGUUUCAUUUGACUAUUUUCGCCAUGUUCGUUGCAAGAUUUAGGGUUUAUUCUGCAUAUCUUGGCGGUGGGGUUGUUGGGUCUGCUUUGGUUUAUUCCUUGGCUAGACAAGGUCAAG
This is a non-coding RNA of Paramuricea clavata, 319 nucleotides long. NCBI's taxonomy places the organism in Eukaryota, Metazoa, Cnidaria, Anthozoa, Malacalcyonacea, Plexauridae. The record is from the annotation of a GenBank genome assembly.